RNAcentral lists this ribosomal RNA (490 nucleotides) under uncultured bacterium. RNAcentral's name for it is "partial 16S ribosomal RNA". It matches the Rfam family "Bacterial small subunit ribosomal RNA", at positions 30 to 507 of the family's 1533-position model. The record is from RNAcentral.
AUUGAACGCUGGCGGCAGGCCUAACACAUGCAAGUCGAACGGUAACAGGAAGCAGCUUGCUGCUUCGCUGACGAGUGGCGGACGGGUGGGUAAUGUCUGGGAAGCUGCCUGAUGGAGGGGGAUAACUACUGGAAACGGUAGCUAAUACCGCAUAAUGUCGCAAGACCAAAGAGGGGGACCUUCGGGCCUCUUGCCAUCGGAUGUGCCCAGAUGGGAUUAGCUUGUUGGUGGGGUAACGGCUCACCAAGGCGACGAUCCCUAGCUGGUCUGAGAGGAUGACCAGCCACACUGGGACUGAGACACGGUCCAGACUCCUACGGGAGGCAGCAGUGGGGAAUAUUGCACAAUGGGCGCAAGCCUGAUGCAGCCAUGCCGCGUGUAUGAAGAAGGCCUUCGGGUUGUAAAGUACUUUCAGCGGGGAGGAAGGGAGUAAAGUUAAUACCUUUGCUCAUUGACGUUACCCGCAGAAGAAGCACCGGCUAACUCCGUG